This is a long non-coding RNA of Thamnophis elegans (Western terrestrial garter snake), 796 nucleotides long. RefSeq lists it as uncharacterized. Lineage: Eukaryota; Metazoa; Chordata; Lepidosauria; Squamata; Natricidae. The transcript is spliced from 3 exons. The record is from RefSeq and is a predicted model, not a curated record.
GGCGCUUCUCCGCUCGAGCGGGAGCCCUGCGGCGAGCAGAGGAGCAUCGCUUCGGACUUCAAGCCUUCGCUCGCCUACUAGGCAGCGGCGUCUCUCGUCCUCCGCGCCCGGCAGCACGCCUUAGACGCUACUCGGCCGUGUAGGGCUUCCGAGAGUCGCUGACCCGGAGGAGAAUCAGGGGCCCGAACGAGGAGCCGGGGAUGACAGGAAAGGAAGGCGGAGAGGAAGAGAUGCUUCUUCUCGGGGGCCUUUCAUGCUUCCCGGACGGAGGCGGAGCCCUCGAGACGCCUCUCGACCGCCCUAAAAGCUACCGACCGCGGGGCUAAAGUCAAGGCAACGCGGGCCGAUCUCGCCGGGGAAUAAACCGCGCGGUCCCCGAAUUAAGAGCCACCCAGAUACCACAUGAAAAAAAGUUUUGGCAGCUGUAGGGAAACUGAACUCAAUCUACCAGUGUCUAUCUUUCUCUUAUGGCCAGGGAAAUGGAAGUCAGAUAAACACAGCUGUGCUUGAUCCACACCAUCCACAUGGAUCCACCCACAGGCUAUAUACUUCCAUGAAAUGCUUCAUCUGGCUGAGACCAUUAUGCUUUGCAGAAAGAAUGAACCCCACCCUUUCAAAAGCUAUUUUAAGAUUAAGAUUGAGAUGUAUCCACAUGGACACGGAAGAUCAAGUUUUAAAAUCUUAUUUUAUCCACAGAUGGCCUUCCCUUUUAGAACAACUUACUUCAUUUAUAAGUACAGAAAUGAAAAAGAAGUUCUAUUUACUAUCUGUCAGAAUUAGUAAAAUUUAAUUUGUA